GAUGAAGAACGCAGCGAAAUGCGAUACUUGGUGUGAAUUGCAGAAUCCCGUGAACCAUCGAGUCUUUGAACGCAAGUUGCGCCCGAAGCCACUAGGCCGAGGGCACGCCUGCCUGGGCGUCACACGUCGUUGCCCCCCCCCCCAUCUACUCCUUCGGGAUUGCGGGGGGCGGAUGAUGGCCUCCCGUUCGCCUAGCCGCGCGGUUGGCAUAAAUACCAAGUCCUCGGCGACGCACGCCACGACAAUCGGUGGUUGCGAAACCUCGGUUGCCCGUCGUGUGCGUUCGUCGCGCAUCGAGGGCUCGAAAAAAUGCUCGGCUCCGGCUCGGCUUUCAACGCGACCCCAGGUCAGGCGGGGUUACCCGCUGAAUUUAAGCAUAUCAAUAAGCGGAGGA
RNAcentral lists this unclassified non-coding RNA (394 nucleotides) under soil metagenome. RNAcentral describes it as "partial contains 5.8S ribosomal RNA, internal transcribed spacer 2, and large subunit ribosomal RNA". The stretch from base 1 to 122 matches the Rfam family "5.8S ribosomal RNA", at positions 35 to 154 of the family's 154-position model. The record is from RNAcentral.